ACAUAGCUUUAGGAAAAUAAAUCUAAAGUUAAACCUGCCCAGUGUAGAAAUUUAAUAAUUAUAAAUGGCCGCGGUACUUUGACCGUGCUAAGGUAGCGCAAUUAAUUGGCUUUUAAAUGGAGUCAGGUAUGAAUGGGAUCACGGAGUUUAGCUGUCUCUAAAUUAAUUUAUUGAAAUUACUGUGUAGGUGAAAAAGCCUAUAGAAAGAAAAAGGACGAGAAGACCCUUAGAGUUUUAUUUAAAGUAAAAUAAUUUUUUAUAAUAAUUUAGUUGGGGCAACAUAGGAACAAUAACAGUAUUAUAACUUCCUUAAUAUAUUUAUUUACCGAUUUUUAUAAAAUUGAAUAAACUACCUUAGGGAUAACAGCAUAAUUUAGUGUAUAAGUUUGUGACCUCGAUGUUGGACUAGGAAAUUGAAAGGUUAGCCGCUUUUUAAGAAGGUUCUGUUCGAACUAGAUAUCCUACGU
RNAcentral lists this ribosomal RNA (467 nucleotides) under Phyllidiopsis krempfi. RNAcentral's name for it is "partial large subunit ribosomal RNA". It matches the Rfam family "Archaeal large subunit ribosomal RNA", at positions 1905 to 2670 of the family's 2987-position model. Lineage: Eukaryota; Metazoa; Mollusca; Gastropoda; Nudibranchia; Phyllidiidae. The record is from RNAcentral.